RNAcentral lists this ribosomal RNA (253 nucleotides) under uncultured microorganism. RNAcentral's name for it is "partial 16S ribosomal RNA". It matches the Rfam family "Bacterial small subunit ribosomal RNA", at positions 524 to 776 of the family's 1533-position model. The record is from RNAcentral.
UACGGAGGGGGCAAGCGUUGUUCGGAGUUACUGGGCGUAAAGCGUGCGCAGGCGGUUUGUUAAGCGAGAUGUGAAAGCCCCGGGCUCAACCUGGGAACCGCAUUUCGAACUGGCAAACUAGAGUCUUGUAGAGGGGGGUAGAAUUCCAGGUGUAGCGGUGAAAUGCGUAGAGAUCUGGAGGAAUACCGGUGGCGAAGGCGGCCCCCUGGACAAAGACUGACGCUCAGGCACGAAAGCGUGGGGAGCAAACAGG